AAGGACUGUUUUCAAGUCCUGAGUAUUUGACAUUGACAUUUUUAUUAUUUAACCAUGGCCACACUGUUUCUCUAACCUUAACCAAGCUGGUUUAAUGACCUAAUCUUGCUUGGAAGUACUUUAGUUGCCACAUGAAAGUCAAUUACAGUAU
Molecule: long non-coding RNA, 151 nt
Organism: Sander lucioperca (pikeperch)
Lineage: Eukaryota; Metazoa; Chordata; Actinopteri; Perciformes; Percidae
Exons: 3
Source: RefSeq, a predicted model, not a curated record